CAGGUUCCGAAAUGGAGGAAUGGGCCGUAGGUCAGCUUUAAACCAAGCUCUGUGAGGUCCCAAUCGUCUGCUCUUCAACAAGAAAAGAUUAAUGGCUAAAAUUUUCCGCUGCUCCUUCUCUCCAAAAACUUUUAACCUGUGACUAAGCCGGCGUUGAUGCACCUCUAAUGAGUCAUAGAAGGUAUUCCACCACCGCCCCGAUCUCCUCAGGCAAGGACCGUACAUAUCGUCUGGCUCCACCAGGGGAUGAGUGCAUGUGUGCAGGAGUGGAAGGGAUAAUGUUCCCGUUGUGUUCGGUUUCAUAAGCCGGGAUGGGACACAGGAAGUCGAUUUGAUGAGGUUGAGAUAAGGAUGUUAUUUAAAUAUGCGGAAAAAAAAAAUUCCUAAAACGACGAGG
Gambusia affinis (western mosquitofish) is the source of this 397-nucleotide long non-coding RNA. RefSeq lists it as uncharacterized. The transcript has 3 exons. The record is from RefSeq and is a predicted model, not a curated record. Lineage: Eukaryota; Metazoa; Chordata; Actinopteri; Cyprinodontiformes; Poeciliidae.